GGCACAUUGUGACGCGGAGCCUGGGCUGAGCACCUGCUCCCUGGUUCUCCACCUGCAGCCAGGAUCUGCCCCCGGCCCCGCUGGGAUCCAGGGGCCGGUGACCUUCGAGGAGGUGGCUGUGUAUUUCUCCAGGGAAGAGGGGACUCUGCUUGACCCCACUCAGAGAGCCCUCUACAGAGAUGUCAUGC
Molecule: long non-coding RNA, 188 nt
Organism: Gopherus flavomarginatus (Mexican gopher tortoise)
Lineage: Eukaryota; Metazoa; Chordata; Testudines; Testudinidae
Exons: 3
Source: RefSeq, a predicted model, not a curated record